CUGGGUGUUUCUGCCUCCGAACCUCCGUCUGGUCCGAGCGGAUCCGGGAGGAGGAGCGACCAGGAGGCGGACAUGGCGGUGCCCAGCCCGGGAUAACCACCGCUCCGCUCCACCGGGGACCAACUUUCUCCGAUUAUGCGACGAAAUGAAUAAAAUCACAAUGUUUGGAGAAAACCGAUGCUGCAGCGUUGCAACUGUCCAAACUUUUGCCGGCAGAUUUCCAAAUGCAGGAACGGCUUUUCCAGGGAAAUGAAGCGGCUGUGUUCAGGUUAAAACCCCGCGGAUCCUUCACCUCUGCUGGGAACACCGUGUUCACCGUCACUGCAAGUUUCUCCAACUUCUCCACCACGAAAAAACACAUGAAAGGGUUAAUUCAUCAGCUACGGGAAGUGUGGGGGAUUCUUUCCAGGAAGUGAUGAAAACUCUUCUGUUGACAACAGACGCGGUGACGAGGGUGCGAACAGCAAUCGGUGGCUCCUCCUCUCUGACUCGCUCACACUUUUACCUGCCAGAUGUUUGGAGGUGAAAAGAACUGAAAAGACUCUUAUCUGAAUGUGGAAACAUUUCAGUUUCAUAUGACAUGAAGCUGAGUUGGAGAAAAUAGAACCAGGAGCAUCAGAACCACAGAUCCACACCGAACCUUUUCUGUCCUUCUAAGACAGACAGCAGCUUCCUGCUAUGUAUUCUGUAUAAAAUACAUUUUUGUACAGGAGGAAUAUUAAAUGCAAAUUUACUCAAAGUA
This is a long non-coding RNA of Xiphophorus maculatus (southern platyfish), 742 nucleotides long. RefSeq lists it as uncharacterized. NCBI's taxonomy places the organism in Eukaryota, Metazoa, Chordata, Actinopteri, Cyprinodontiformes, Poeciliidae. The transcript is spliced from 6 exons. The record is from RefSeq and is a predicted model, not a curated record.